Molecule: long non-coding RNA, 1407 nt
Organism: Varroa destructor (honeybee mite)
Lineage: Eukaryota; Metazoa; Arthropoda; Arachnida; Mesostigmata; Varroidae
Source: RefSeq, a predicted model, not a curated record
CAAAAUAAACCGCCAAAAUGUCUGCUAGGCGCGAAACUCAAUCCGACUCGCUAACGUUCGUGGAUUUGACGUAACGCAUGCGAAAUAUUUUAAAAACGACGCAUCGCCUUUUCUAGGGAGUCUAACGUAUUCCGCUUUAGAUCAGCAGACACAAUCACAGCCUACAUUCAUUUGAAGAAAUCGAGCGUCAGACGUCACAGCGGUCAAUGGAGAGUUUGUUCGUAGCUUCUUCUUUCAGUACGGAGUUAGUCACAUAAUUAAUUUCGGUUCAGGACACACAUUCAGAGCGUUCGAUGUAGUUUGCCAAAUACAGUCAACAAUAGCUGCUCUAUUUUUUGAGCCCAGAAGUAUUCCCUCAUUCGGAAAAGGGUUAAUUAGUUGUCGUUGCACUAACGGUUAGUCACCUAUACCGCAUGGCGUUGUCGGCAACAUACAAUCUGAAUUUGAUUGCCUCCAGCUUUCUCAGAAGACCUAAAGAACUUUUCCUCUAUUUCUUAGUUAGACCCGAUAGUAUCGAAUAGUAAUAUUAAAACGAUCUCGAGCCACCUUCCUUAGAUUAUUUGGUCAGACUGAUGAUAGCUCCGUCAUCAGAUUUUCAUUAAACUAUGGAGCGGUAACUUGGUUAUAGUGACGAUGAAACAUGAUUGACUACUUCAAAGCACUUUCUUCAAAAUGUAUAUAUAAAGCUAUUAAACUUUUGUGCGUUCCCCACAGUAGCGUCAUUACCGUUGUCGUCACCUUGUGCAUGUUUUCUUUACCAACUAAUGCUACCGAGCUGUGUUGGCUGUAACGCUGACGUGGGUGACGACUUCUGCGACCGCCUUCACCGUUUCGUCUAAGCUCAUUCCGGGUCAUCGGCGAUGAUCGCGCUGGCAAGAAACGCUUCACCUGAAGCUGCUUGACAACUCUUUUUCCGUGUGCCACAACAGAAGGCGAAGACAGGGAAUGCAACUAAGGAAAACUCAAGUCCCAGCCGGUGCAGCGGGGACUUUAUCAUGAUCAUCAUGACGAACUCCCAACUAUCUACCAAAUGCCGCAUCCACGUCGGCGUUGACCCUCGUUCUGCUGAGGGUGCGCUGCUUCGAGUGCUGUUACUUCCAUCACUGCUACCCCGGCUGUUAGCAAUAGAUCGAUUUUCCAGUAGCGAUCAUGAUACGCCUGGAAUGGGUGGUGGCAGAGCGACGUUGUGCUUCAACACGGAACGGCGCGUUUGACGGGAACUGCAUAGGUGGUUCCGUGCGAUAGUAAAUGGCGUUUGUUAGCUGCGGCGGCCCAUUUGAUAACCGUAUUGGCAGACUCAUAGCUCAACCGUUACGAAGACGUCCCAGCAGACAAGCGAACGACGACAUUAUCUAGUUCAUAUACUGUAUAUAUAUCUAAAAGCAAAAAUGAAGCUCCACUUUACUA